GACGAACGCUGGCGGCGUGCUUAACACAUGCAAGUCGAGCGGUAAGGCCCUUUCGGGGGUACACGAGCGGCGAACGGGUGAGUAACACGUGGGUGACCUGCCCUUAGCUCUGGGAUAAGCCUGGGAAACUGGGUCUAAUACCGGAUAUGACUCCAUGACGCAUGUUGUGGGGUGGAAAGCCUUGUGCGGCUAGGGAUGGGCCCGCGGCCUAUCAGCUUGUUGGUGGGGUGANGGCCUACCAAGGCGACGACGGGUAGCCGGCCUGAGAGGGCGACCGGCCACACUGGGACUGAGACACGGCCCAGACUCCUGCGGGAGGCAGCAGUGGGGAAUCUUGCGCAAUGGGCGAAAGCCUGACGCAGCGACGCCGCGUGGGGA
RNAcentral lists this ribosomal RNA (378 nucleotides) under uncultured bacterium. Its description in RNAcentral is "bacterial SSU rRNA". It matches the Rfam family "Bacterial small subunit ribosomal RNA", at positions 28 to 407 of the family's 1533-position model. The record is from RNAcentral.